GACGAACGCUGGCGGCGUGCUUAACACAUGCAAGUCGAGCGGUAAGGCCCCUUCGGGGGUACGACGAGCGGCGAACGGGUGAGUAACACGUGGGUGACCUGCCCUCAGCUCUGGGAUAAGCCUGGGAAACUGGGUCUAAUACCGGAUAUGACUCCAUGACGCAUGUCGUGGGGUGGAAAGCCUUGUGCGGCUGAGGAUGGGCCCGCGGCCUAUCAGCUUGUUGGUGGGGUGANGGCCUACCAAGGCGACGACGGGUAGCCGGCCUGAGAGGGCGACCGGCCACACUGGGACUGAGACACGGCCCACGACUCCUACGGGAGGCAGCAGUGGGGAAGUCUUGCGCAAUGGGCGAAAGCCUGACGCAGCGACGCCGCGUGAGGGAUGACGGCCCUCGGGUUGUAAACCUCUUCAGCUCCGACGAAGCGAGAGUGACGGUAGG
RNAcentral lists this ribosomal RNA (439 nucleotides) under uncultured bacterium. RNAcentral describes it as "bacterial SSU rRNA". It matches the Rfam family "Bacterial small subunit ribosomal RNA", at positions 28 to 479 of the family's 1533-position model. The record is from RNAcentral.